This is a long non-coding RNA of Humulus lupulus (European hop), 1734 nucleotides long. RefSeq lists it as uncharacterized. The transcript has 2 exons. The record is from RefSeq and is a predicted model, not a curated record. NCBI's taxonomy places the organism in Eukaryota, Viridiplantae, Streptophyta, Magnoliopsida, Rosales, Cannabaceae.
GUUUAGGUUGGGCUGAGCUGGGUCUGGGUCGACUGUGCAGGGACAGUGGCUGGGCUCGGCAGGGACGAUGGCUGGGCUCGGGCAGGGACGGUGGCUGGGCUCGGGCAGGGACGUUGGCUGGGCUCGGCAGAGACGGUGGCUGUGCAGGGAGGGGCUAGUGUAGGUUUGGGAUUUUUUCUUUAACUGUUUGGAAAUUGUUCAAGCUUAUAUGAAGUGGGCUUCUGGGAUUUUUUCGGUUUGAUUUCUUAUCAUAUCUGAUUUUUUUUGUUGUGAAAUGCAAUUUACUCUAUCUGGGUAUGUGAAAGUUUGAAUCUUUUGUAGUUUUACUUCACAGUUUAAAUGGGGGAGUUCUUCUGUAAUCUUGGUGUGUGAAUUAUGGUUCAGUUUAGUUACUAUGGCAGCUUGUAGCUGAGCUCCCAAUUUUACUUCUUUAACAUUGUUCUAACAAUCUGCGUAGUUCAUAUCUAGGAGUACAAGCUUAUACUUUACAUUAAAAUAAUCGACUUAAUUCUCAUAAGAGUAAUGCUUUAGACUUUAAACAAGUUAUGUUGGUACUUAGUUUGUUUCAUCUAAGAGGAUAGUUCAAUCUUUUAGGACCCAAAUUUGCUCUUUUUCUUAUCUUAAGUUCUUUCAACAUUGAACAAUUUUAUCAUAUUGUUUUAAUUCCAGGGACAAAUAAGAUUUGGUAGUUGAUCAUUUGAAGAAUCUUUUCCUAGUUGAGCUUAAUAUCAGAAGUAGGAAAUGGUUAACAGGUUUGUUCAGUGCUUUCAUACUUUGAAGACCAUUUCGAGCACAAGACGAUUACGAGUUUCUCACACUUGUUUGUCUAUUUCUUUGAACAUAUAUGGAGUGUUUUGAUUUAGAGAAAAUAUCAUGUUGUAGUGCAUAGAUGGGUUCAAGCAUUUAUUUGCUUCCCUAUUGCGGUGCUUUGAUCUCGGCUUGUAUAACCAAUCAAGAGGCCUAGACGAUCCUGCAGUUCUAGCAUAGGAGACAGUGUGUAUGAUUCUAAAUUCUGACCCAAACAGAUUAGCGAUUUUUAGUAUACUAUGAUGCUUGCUGAUAAUUCAUUUCAUUGUUAAAUUAUUAUAUUUUAAAGUAGAAAUCAUUGAACCCAAGAAGGGUAGCUCAAAUGUUCAGUCUUGUGGUUUGCUCCUACAAGUUCUGAGGUUUGACUUUUUUUUAGUACCUACAUAAUAUUGGGGUUAGGUGAGGUGAGGAGCUUUUUUUUUUUUGGUCAACAAAAAAGUAGGAAUCAAUGAAUAUUCUUUGCUUAUUUUAGACAGAAUUUAAAGUAUGGAAUAAUUGGAAAUUCUUUGCCUAUUUCUGACUAUGACUAAAUUUAAAGUUACUGCUGCUAUCCAACCUUUUCAUAGGACACUAUAAAACCUGUCUAUUGAACAUUGGGGCUUCCUUGUAUGCAGUUAGCGUAAGCGAAAUUGAAGCACUUUAUGAACUUUUUAAGAAGAUCAGUAGUGCUAUGAUUGAUGAUGGAUUAAUCAACAAGGUCUAUAUUGAGAUGCAUUUCUUUGGCGCAAUACUUGACAACAUUGAAAGUUGAAGUUUUUAGAAUAAAAAAUAUAUUUCACUAACAUUGGAUACAUUUCUUGUUUAUUAUUUGAUGAUGAUAAAAUUUGAUUGUAGUAUAAACUAUCAUGUAAUAUGAUUUUGUAAGCCGAGUAGACUAAAUACUGAAAUUAUAUUUUUGAGUAAUUAAUAAAAAAUUAUUUUGUUGUA